This 482-nucleotide ribosomal RNA is filed under the name uncultured bacterium. RNAcentral's name for it is "partial 16S ribosomal RNA". It matches the Rfam family "Bacterial small subunit ribosomal RNA", at positions 30 to 507 of the family's 1533-position model. The record is from RNAcentral.
AUUGAACGCUGGCGGCAUGCUUUACACGUGCAAGUCGAACGGCAGCGCGGGGCAACCUGGCGGCGAGUGGCGAACGGGUGAGUAAUAUAUCGGAACGUACCCAGAAGUGGGGGAUAACGUAGCGAAAGUUACGCUAAUACCGCAUACGAUCUACGGAUGAAAGUAGGGGACCGCAAGGCCUUAUGCUUUUGGAGCGGCCGAUAUCUGAUUAGCUAGUUGGUGAGGUAAAGGCUCACCAAGGCGACGAUCAGUAGCUGGUCUGAGAGGACGACCAGCCACACUGGAACUGAGACACGGUCCAGACUCCUACGGGAGGCAGCAGUGGGGAAUUUUGGACAAUGGGCGCAAGCCUGAUCCAGCAAUGCCGCGUGAGUGAAGAAGGCCUUCGGGUUGUAAAGCUCUUUUGUCAGGGAAGAAACGGUAGAGGCUAAUAUCCUUUGCUAAUGACGGUACCUGAAGAAUAAGCACCGGCUAACUACGUG